AUGAACGCUGGCGGCGUGCCUAAUACCUGCAAGUCGAGCGCACAGAUCAGGAGCUUGCUCCUUUGACGUUAGCGGCGGACGGGUGAGUAACACGUGGAUAACCUACCUAUAAGACUGGGAUAACUUCGGGAAACCGGAGCUAAUACCGGAUAACAUAUUGAACCGCAUGGUUCAAUAGUGAAAGGCGGCUUUGCUGUCACUUAUAGAUGGAUCCGCGCCGUAUUAGCUAGUUGGUAAGGUAACGGCUUACCAAGGCAACGAUACGUAGCCGACCUGAGAGGGUGAUCGGCCACACUGGAACUGAGACACGGUCCAGACUCCUACGGGAGGCAGCAGUAGGGAAUCUUCCGCAAUGGGCGAAAGCCUGACGGAGCAACGCCGCGUGAGUGAUGAAGGUCUUCGGAUCGUAAAACUCUGUUAUCAGGGAAGAACAAAUGUGUAAGUAACUGUGCACAUCUUGACGGUACCUGAUCAGAAAGCCACGGCUAACUACGUG
This 496-nucleotide ribosomal RNA is filed under the name uncultured bacterium. Its description in RNAcentral is "partial 16S ribosomal RNA". It matches the Rfam family "Bacterial small subunit ribosomal RNA", at positions 29 to 507 of the family's 1533-position model. The record is from RNAcentral.